Molecule: ribosomal RNA, 253 nt
Filed under: uncultured bacterium
Lineage: Bacteria
Description: partial 16S ribosomal RNA
Rfam family: Bacterial small subunit ribosomal RNA
Source: RNAcentral
UACAGAGGUCCCGAGCGUUGUUCGGAUUCACUGGGCGUAAAGGGUGCGUAGGUGGUGAGGUAAGUCGGAUGUGAAAUCUCCGGGCUCAACCCGGAAAUGGCAUUGGAAACUACCUUGCUGGAGGAUUUGAGGGGGGAUUGGAAUACUUGGUGUAGCAGUGAAAUGCGUAGAUAUCAAGUGGAACACCAGUGGCGAAGGCGGCACUCUGGGCCGGAACUGACGCUGAGGAGCGAAAGCGUGGGGAGCGAACAGG